CGGGGCGUAGCUCAGCCUGGCUAGAGCGCUGCGUUCGGGACGCAGAGGUCGCAAGUUCAAAUCUUGUCGCCCCGA
RNAcentral lists this transfer RNA (75 nucleotides) under Phycisphaerae bacterium. Its description in RNAcentral is "tRNA-Pro". It matches the Rfam family "tRNA". From Rfam's summary of the family: Transfer RNA (tRNA) molecules are approximately 80 nucleotides in length. RNAcentral also lists the same sequence under 3 other names. Lineage: Bacteria; Pseudomonadati; Planctomycetota; Phycisphaerae. The record is from RNAcentral.